Molecule: non-coding RNA, 105 nt
Organism: Canis lupus familiaris (dog)
Lineage: Eukaryota; Metazoa; Chordata; Mammalia; Carnivora; Canidae
Source: Rfam
AGGAGGAACUAUCCCAGUGGCGGGGCCAGCUCUGGAGCCCUGGAGUCAGCUCCCGCAGUAACCCCAGAGCUCUCCGUCUGCAGGGCCUGGAGGCUCCGGGGCGGG